GGAAUAUUGGACAAUGGGCGCAAGCCUGAUCCAGCCAUGCCGCGUGAGUGAUGAAGGCCUUAGGGUUGUAAAGCUCUUUCAGUAGGGAAGAUAAUGACGGUACCUACAGAAGAAGCCCCGGCUAACUUCGUUCCAGCAGCCGCGGUAAUACGAAGGGGGCUAGCGUUGUUCGGAAUUACUGGGCGUAAAGCGCGCGUAGGCGGACAUCUAAGUCAGGGGUGAAAUGCCAAGGCUCAACCUUGGAACUGCCCUUGAUACUGGGUGUCUGGAGUUCGGGAGAGGUGAGUGGAAUUCCGAGUGUAGAGGUGAAAUUCGUAGAUAUUCGGAGGAACACCAGAAGCGAAGGCGGCUCACUGGCCCGAUACUGACGCUGAGGCGCGAAAGCGUGGGGAGCA
This 395-nucleotide ribosomal RNA is filed under the name uncultured bacterium. RNAcentral's name for it is "bacterial SSU rRNA". It matches the Rfam family "Bacterial small subunit ribosomal RNA", at positions 358 to 770 of the family's 1533-position model. The record is from RNAcentral.